RNAcentral lists this small RNA (42 nucleotides) under Plasmodium falciparum 3D7. RNAcentral's name for it is "Pfa-starR240". The record is from RNAcentral. Lineage: Eukaryota; Apicomplexa; Aconoidasida; Haemosporida; Plasmodiidae.
CUUACGUUCACUAAGUGAGGUCCUUCUUUUACUAACAUAGGU